This 79-nucleotide transfer RNA is filed under the name Flavonifractor sp. An82. RNAcentral describes it as "tRNA-Asn". It matches the Rfam family "tRNA". From Rfam's summary of the family: Transfer RNA (tRNA) molecules are approximately 80 nucleotides in length. Their secondary structure includes four short double-helical elements and three loops (D, anti-codon, and T loops). The record is from RNAcentral. Lineage: Bacteria; Bacillati; Bacillota; Clostridia; Eubacteriales; Oscillospiraceae.
GGACCUUUAGCUUAGUUGGUUUUAGAGCAUACGACUGUUAAUCGUAAGGUCGUGGGUUCGAGUCCCACAGGGUCCUCCA